RNAcentral lists this long non-coding RNA (387 nucleotides) under Mytilus galloprovincialis (Mediterranean mussel). Lineage: Eukaryota; Metazoa; Mollusca; Bivalvia; Mytilida; Mytilidae. The record is from RNAcentral.
CGUGGUACCACAAAAGAAUAUCUAAAAUAACUUUGAUUCGUUUAACUUAAAAUAUAUUCAACAUGUUUUUUGUUAUUUUUAUAGCAAACGGUGAUUUUUAUAGUUGAAGCUAUGGAAUACGCAGUAAAGUAAAAUAAAAAUAUUGAUAACAGUAAAGUGCCUGCCGUGUGGAAUGUUCAAAGGGCACAGAAAAGAAGACCAUUCCGUUUGUUUUCAGCAAUGUUGUGAACGUAUGUGGUAAAGUAGAAAUAUCGGUUGUAGAGUUACUGAGCUACAUAUGUCAGACGUUACAAUCAAACUACUAGCUUUACGAUUUAGUAUGUCACAGUUUGAUCAAGAAACAUCGUUUGCGCGUGAAUAUGCUCUUAACCUAUGUUGAUAAGCAUG